This is a long non-coding RNA of Apis florea (little honeybee), 932 nucleotides long. The record is from RefSeq and is a predicted model, not a curated record. Lineage: Eukaryota; Metazoa; Arthropoda; Insecta; Hymenoptera; Apidae.
AAACAACGAUUAAUGCAACGAGAAUAAUCAUUCCAUUGUAGAAUCUAUCCUAUGAAUUUACCAAUGGUGUUCGAUAUUCAGUAUUCACGCGGUAUGUUCGAAACGGAUCAUACGUAUAAUAAGAAAAACGAUCAAAAGCACCUUCUCCAUUCCAAUCCAUUGAAAUCGUUCGAUAAAACUUCUUUAUUUUUUAUUAUUAUUUUUUUUUUGAAUCGUCAUGAAUGAAUCGAACAUUCAUAAGCAAAAGGAAUUUCACACGCGACACGUUUCGUAACCAAGAUUUGCUUUUACCGUUUCACCAUCGAAUGUAUAAUGGCGCCGUAAAGCUCGACCAAUUUGCCCACCAUUAUAUUAUUUCUCUCAUGAGCAUAUAUGCAAGUAAUAUAUAUUCUACUAUAUGAGCGUGCAUGUAUACGAAUAUAGGAUGUUUCAGAAUUAAAGAAUCAAACAUAAAAUGUUUCAAAAAUGAAAAAUCAAUUUUUUUGAUUAUCAAUUUAAGAUUAUCGAAGAGGUUAAAAAAUUUUUGAUUUAUUUCAAAUUUUUUCAUCAUCGUAUAAUAAUAAUUCUUAUUUUAUGUAGUUCUUGGAUACUGGAUUAUUGGAAAUGGGAAAAAAAGGAUAAAGAAAAAAAGAAGAAAAGAAAGAAGCAUUAACGAUAAUGCUAUCUAGAAACUCCGUGUUUUGAAUGCUAUGACAUUGAAGGCGUUAUAAAUCAAGGGAAAUAACCAGCGAUAUCACGAAACUCCCUCGUUGCGAUUCCAGAGAAUUACAUGGAGUGUUUGAUAAUGAUUGAAAUGUUCGUUGAUUUCCUGUCGUGUCCGACUGGUCUUUCGAAAGGUGUGCUCGUGGCUGGGAUAUUGAUCAUGCAUAGAAUUAGGUUUUUUACAAUGUGUAUUUAGUUUGAAUGAAGUUGUAUUUAUUGAGAUAUUUAAA